CCCUUAGAUGUUCUGGGCCGCACGCGCGCUACACUGAUUCAUGCACUAAGUAUAUAACCCUGGUAGAAAUGCUUGGGUAAUCUUUGAAACUGAAUCGUGCUGGGGAUUGGAGCUUGUAAUUAUUCUCCAUGAACGAGGAAUUCCUAGUAAACGCGAGUCAUCAGCUCGCAUUGAUUACGUCCCUGCCCUUUGUACACACCGCCCGUCGCACCUACCGAUUGAAUGGUCCGGUGAAAUCUUCGGACCGGGCGAUAGUCAGCAAUGACCGUUGCCUGGAAAGUUGCUUAAACCUUACCAUUUAGAGGAAGGUGAAGUCGUAACA
Molecule: ribosomal RNA, 322 nt
Filed under: uncultured eukaryote
Lineage: Eukaryota
Description: partial 18S ribosomal RNA
Rfam family: Eukaryotic small subunit ribosomal RNA
Source: RNAcentral